UACGUAGGGUGCAAGCGUUAAUCGGAAUUACUGGGCGUAAAGGGUGCGCAGGCGGUUCUGUAAGUCAGAUGUGAAAUCCCCGGGCUUAACCUGGGAAUUGCGUUUGAAACUACAGAGCUGGAGUGUAGCAGAGGGGGGUGGAAUUCCAUGUGUAGCAGUGAAAUGCGUAGAGAUAUGGAAGAACAUCGAUGGCGAAGGCAACCCCCUGGGUUAACACUGACGCUCAUGCACGAAAGCGUGGGGAGCAAACAGG
Molecule: ribosomal RNA, 253 nt
Filed under: uncultured bacterium
Lineage: Bacteria
Description: partial 16S ribosomal RNA
Rfam family: Bacterial small subunit ribosomal RNA
Source: RNAcentral